Molecule: ribosomal RNA, 1432 nt
Filed under: Klebsiella pneumoniae subsp. pneumoniae
Lineage: Bacteria; Pseudomonadati; Pseudomonadota; Gammaproteobacteria; Enterobacterales; Enterobacteriaceae
Description: partial 23S ribosomal RNA
Rfam family: Bacterial large subunit ribosomal RNA
Source: RNAcentral
GUUAAGUGGAAAACGAUGUGAAGAUACGUAGACAACCAGGAUGUUGGCUCAGAAGCAGCCACACAUUCAAAGAGUGCGUAAUAGCUCACUGGUCGAGCGUCUUUGCGCGGAGAAUUUAACGGGGCUAAACCUGACACCGAAGCUUAGGCAAUGUACUUUGUACAUUGGGUAGGGGAGCGUUGUAUACGCGGUGAAACAGUAGCGCAAGCGGCUGUGGAGUGUAUAGAAGUGAGAAUGCCGGAAUGAGUAGCGCGAAUGCAGUGAGAAUCUGCAUGGCCGAAAGCCUCAGGUUUCUGGAGGAAGGUUCGUCCGCUCCAGGUUAGUCGGGAGCUAAGGUGAGGCCUAACGGCGUAGCCGAUGCACAGACGGUAGAGAUUCCGUCACCACCAAAAGAGUUAAACACAGGGACACAUUUGAAGUCUCGGAGCCGGGUGUUGGUUCCGGUAGCGAUCGAGGGAAGUUAGUACCGAAGUCCGGGAUGGAAGAUGGCGAGAAAAGCUGUGUGUAUUUCUGCGGUGCCCGUACCGCAAACCGACACAGGUAGGUAGGAAGAAGAUUCUAAGGCCAACGGGAGAAGGGUUGUUAAGGAACUCGGCAAAUUGACCCCGUAACUUCGGGAGAAGGGGUGCUCCAGAGAUGGAGCCGCAGAGAAUCGGCCCAAGCAACUGUUUACCAAAAACACAGGUUUGUGCUAAAUCGAAAGAUGACGUAUACGAGCUGACGCCUGCCCGGUGCUGGAAGGUUAAGAGGAGAUGUGCAAGCAUUGAAUCGAAGCCCCAGUGAACGGCGGCCGUAACUAUAACGGUCCUAAGGUAGCGAAAUUCCUUGUCAGGUAAGUUCUGACCCGCAUGAAAGGCGUAAUGAUUUGGGCACUGUCUCGACAGCCCGCCCGGCGAAAUUGUAGUACCGGUGAAGAUGCCGGUUACCCGCGACAAGACGGAAAGACCCCAUGGAGCUUUACUGUAGCCUAAUAUUGGGUUUCGAUGUUGCAUGCACAGGAUAGAUGGGACACAGGGAAGCAAGUGCUUUGGCAUUUGUGGAGUGGCCGUUGGGAUACCAUCCUUGCGAUAUUGGAAUUCUAACCUGCGCCUUUGAAUCAAGGCGGGGGACAUUGUUAGGUGGGCAGUUUGACUGGGGCGGUCGCCUAAAGAGUAACGGAGGCGUUCAAAGGUUCGCUCAGCUUGAACGGAAAUCAAGCAAAAGAGUGCAAACGCAGAAGCGAGCCUAACUGCGAGACUGACGGGUCGAGCAGUAACGAAAGUUGGAGUUAGUGAUCCGGUGGUAUGUGAGUGGAAAUGCCAUCGCUCAACGGAUAAAAGUUACCCUGGGGAUAACAGGCUGAUCUCCCCCAAGAGUCCACAUCGACGGGGAGGUUUGGCACCUCGAUGUAGGCUCAUCGCAUCCUGGGGCUGUAUUCGGUCCCAAGGGCUUG